AAGUCCCGUAACGAGCGCAACCCUUGUCCUCAGUUACCAGCGGUUCGGCCGGGAACUCUGGGGAGACUGCCGGUGACAAACCGGAGGAAGGUGGGGAUGACGUCAAGUCAUCAUGGCCCUUACGAGUAGGGCUACACACGUGCUACAAUGGUCAGUACAGAGGGUUGCGAAGCCGCGAGGUGGAGCUAAUCCCACAAAGCUGGUCGUAGUCCGGAUUGGAGUCUGCAACUCGACUCCAUGAAGUCGGAAUCGCUAGUAAUCGUGGAUCAGAAUGCCACGGUGAAUACGUUCCCGGGCCUU
This 300-nucleotide ribosomal RNA is filed under the name uncultured bacterium. RNAcentral's name for it is "bacterial SSU rRNA". It matches the Rfam family "Bacterial small subunit ribosomal RNA", at positions 1082 to 1382 of the family's 1533-position model. The record is from RNAcentral.